This 389-nucleotide ribosomal RNA is filed under the name uncultured bacterium. RNAcentral describes it as "bacterial SSU rRNA". It matches the Rfam family "Bacterial small subunit ribosomal RNA", at positions 30 to 418 of the family's 1533-position model. The record is from RNAcentral.
AUUGAACGCUGGCGGCAUGCUUUACACAUGCAAGUCGAACGGCAACACGGGGGCAACCCUGGUGGCGAGUGGCGAACGGGUGAGUAAUACAUAGGAACGUAUCCUGAAAUGGGGGAUAGCUCGGCGAAAGCCGGAUUAAUACCGCAUACGAUCUACGGAUGAAAGCAGGGGAUUCGCAAGAACCUUGCGUUUCUGGAGCGGCCUAUGUCUGAUUAGCUAGUUGGCGGGGAAAAGCCCACCAAGGCGACGAUCAGUAGCUGGUCUGAGAGGAUGAUCAGCCACACUGGGACUGAGACACGGCCCAGACUCCUACGGGAGGCAGCAGUGGGGAAUUUUGGACAAUGGGGGCAACCCUGAUCCAGCCAUGCCGCGUGAGUGAAGAAGGGCCU